Long non-coding RNA from Cryptotermes secundus, 1127 nucleotides. RefSeq lists it as uncharacterized. NCBI's taxonomy places the organism in Eukaryota, Metazoa, Arthropoda, Insecta, Blattodea, Kalotermitidae. The transcript has 2 exons. The record is from RefSeq and is a predicted model, not a curated record.
UAAAUAUUUUAAAGCAAAAAUUGAGAAAGCUAGACACUCAUAUGAGAAGCAGUAUUCCACCCGAAGAGAAACUGGUGAUAACUCUCAGGGAUGCUCCCUGAUGGACUUGCAGUAUGCAUUCCGAGUGGGCAGAUCAACAGCAGGGGCCACUGUCAGAGAAGUUUGUGGAGCAAUAUGGACAUGUUUAGCCAAUCAUGCAUUACCUAAGCUCUCCACAGAAAAAUGGCUGGAAAUAGCUGAGGGAUAUGAAAAGUAUGCUAACUUUCCUCAUUGUUUAGGCGCAAUUAAUGGAAAGCACGUGAGAGUUGUGCAACCUCCGAAUAGUGGUUCUAUGUACUAUAACUAUAAAAACUAUUUCUCCAUCGUGUUGUUUGCCAUGUGUGAUGCUAAUUAUUUAUUUACAUACAUAGACGUGGGAUCAUAUGGGAAAUCAAGUGAUUCAGGAACAUUAAAAAACUCUUAACUCUUUGAAAAGCUGUCUGAUGGUUCGUUAGGAAUUCCUCCACCAACGCAAAUUGCAGAUUCAUCUCUACAUUAUCCGUAUGUCUGAGUUGGUGACGAGGCCGUCCCACUAUCAACAAACUUACUUAGACCGUAUGGUGGCAGGCAUCUAACUGAUACCAAGAAAAUAUUCAACUACAGACUGUCUAGAGCCAGGCGCUAUAUACAAUGCUCCUUCGGUAUUUUAGCAAAUAAGUGAAGAAUAUUUCACAGACCACUAAAUGUAGAUAUUGGUUUUGCUGAAGUUGUAAUUAAGGCUGCUUGUGUAACACAAAGGGAUGGAAAACGUGAGGACACCUUCCCACAAUGUAGUAUGCAGAACUUAACGUUCGACAGAGUCAGCAGAGGAAAUAUGAGAGAUAAAUUUGCUCACUAUUUUUCAGAAAUUGCUCUAUUAGAAUGGCAGAAUAAGGUCAUUGAAGGUUGAUUUCGGACUGUAUUCGUGACUACCGAAGUCCACCAUAAUCUUGCACAUAAGGUAUAAACUUACCUAAUGUCUUUUUCUCUUCUAUAGCCGUGUCCUGUUCCGCAAAUUUAUUCACAAUUUUUUCCCAAGAGAUUUUCCUUUUUGUUUUGUCCAUAUAAUCACCAUGCGUCAUAUCGCAUAUUGCUGGUCGGGCAUGGAC